This 1418-nucleotide ribosomal RNA is filed under the name Vibrio sp. PaH1.36a. RNAcentral describes it as "bacterial SSU rRNA". It matches the Rfam family "Bacterial small subunit ribosomal RNA". The record is from RNAcentral. Lineage: Bacteria; Pseudomonadati; Pseudomonadota; Gammaproteobacteria; Vibrionales; Vibrionaceae.
ACACAUGCAAGUCGAGCGGAAACGAGUUAUCUGAACCUUCGGGGAACGAUAACGGCGUCGAGCGGCGGACGGGUGAGUAAUGCCUAGGAAAUUGCCCUGAUGUGGGGGAUAACCAUUGGAAACGAUGGCUAAUACCGCAUAAUGCCUACGGGCCAAAGAGGGGGACCUUCGGGCCUCUCGCGUCAGGAUAUGCCUAGGUGGGAUUAGCUAGUUGGUGAGGUAAUGGCUCACCAAGGCGACGAUCCCUAGCUGGUCUGAGAGGAUGAUCAGCCACACUGGAACUGAGACACGGUCCAGACUCCUACGGGAGGCAGCAGUGGGGAAUAUUGCACAAUGGGCGCAAGCCUGAUGCAGCCAUGCCGCGUGUGUGAAGAAGGCCUUCGGGUUGUAAAGCACUUUCAGUCGUGAGGAAGGUGGUGUAGUUAAUAGCUGCAUUAUUUGACGUUAGCGACAGAAGAAGCACCGGCUAACUCCGUGCCAGCAGCCGCGGUAAUACGGAGGGUGCGAGCGUUAAUCGGAAUUACUGGGCGUAAAGCGCAUGCAGGUGGUUUGUUAAGUCAGAUGUGAAAGCCCGGGGCUCAACCUCGGAAUAGCAUUUGAAACUGGCAGACUAGAGUACUGUAGAGGGGGGUAGAAUUUCAGGUGUAGCGGUGAAAUGCGUAGAGAUCUGAAGGAAUACCGGUGGCGAAGGCGGCCCCCUGGACAGAUACUGACACUCAGAUGCGAAAGCGUGGGGAGCAAACAGGAUUAGAUACCCUGGUAGUCCACGCCGUAAACGAUGUCUACUUGGAGGUUGUGGCCUUGAGCCGUGGCUUUCGGAGCUAACGCGUUAAGUAGACCGCCUGGGGAGUACGGUCGCAAGAUUAAAACUCAAAUGAAUUGACGGGGGCCCGCACAAGCGGUGGAGCAUGUGGUUUAAUUCGAUGCAACGCGAAGAACCUUACCUACUCUUGACAUCCAGAGAACUUUCCAGAGAUGGAUUGGUGCCUUCGGGAACUCUGAGACAGGUGCUGCAUGGCUGUCGUCAGCUCGUGUUGUGAAAUGUUGGGUUAAGUCCCGCAACGAGCGCAACCCUUAUCCUUGUUUGCCAGCGAGUAAUGUCGGGAACUCCAGGGAGACUGCCGGUGAUAAACCGGAGGAAGGUGGGGACGACGUCAAGUCAUCAUGGCCCUUACGAGUAGGGCUACACACGUGCUACAAUGGCGCAUACAGAGGGCAGCAAGCUAGCGAUAGUGAGCGAAUCCCAAAAAGUGCGUCGUAGUCCGGAUUGGAGUCUGCAACUCGACUCCAUGAAGUCGGAAUCGCUAGUAAUCGUGGAUCAGAAUGCCACGGUGAAUACGUUCCCGGGCCUUGUACACACCGCCCGUCACACCAUGGGAGUGGGCUGCAAAAGAAGUAGGUAGUUUAACCUUCGGGAG